Molecule: ribosomal RNA, 2040 nt
Filed under: Triticum aestivum (bread wheat)
Lineage: Eukaryota; Viridiplantae; Streptophyta; Magnoliopsida; Poales; Poaceae
Description: partial small subunit ribosomal RNA
Source: RNAcentral
AUGGGGAUGGAUCAGGGGGCGGAGGAGGCGCGGCGGAUGGCGAGCCUGCAGGCGGCGCGGAGCGCGCUGCGGGCCGGGGUGGAGCGGUCGCGGGCGCUGAGCCACGCGCUGGCGCGGACGGGGGCCCGGGUCGGGGAGAUCCAGGCGCGGCUGGCGGCCACGGAGGCCGGGGUGCGCCCGAUCCGCGCGCCGCGGGACGCGCUCGAGGGGGCCGGCCCCAACAUCGACCGCGCCGUGGGGCCCGCCGCGGCCGUCCUCAAGGUGUUCGACGCCGUGCACGGCCUCGAGCCGCCGCUCCUCGCCGGGGCCGCCGCCCGGGAGGACCUCCCGGGCUACCUCGCCCUCGUCGCCCGCCUCGAGGAGGCGCUCCGCUUCCUCGCCGACAACUGCGGCCUCGCCGUCGACUGGCUCUCCGACAUCGUCGACUACCUCGGCAAGCGCAGCCUCGCCGACCCUCGCUUCGUGGCCGGCCUCGCCGGGGCGCUCUCGAAACUCAAGGGCGUCCCCGCAGCCGACCUCGACGCCGGCCUCCUCACCGCCGCCCUCGACGUGCUCGAGGCCGAGUUCUGCCGCCUCCUCGCCGAGCACUCUGCUCCGCUCGCGAUGCAGGAGGACCCCGACAAGGCCAAGCCCGCACCCGCCUCCAUCACGCCGCCGAGGAUCCCCGCCGCCGCCGUGCAGAAGCUGGGCCUCACCCUUGACCGCCUCGCCGCUAAUGGGCGGCUCAGCUACUGCGUGGCGGCGUACGCCGACGCUCGCGGGGACACGGUGAGCGCCAGCCUCCACGCGCUCGGCCUGGAUUACCUGCAAGACCAGACGCAGGAUGCUCAGGCGCUGAGCCCGAGCGUCGAGCUCUGGGGCCGGCAUUUGGAGUUCGCGGUGCGCCACCUAUUGGAAGCUGAGCGGAAGCUCUGUGUUGCUGUCUUCGAGCGCUGGCCAGAAGCCGCGGCCGCUUGCUUCGCGGACAUUGCGGCGCGCGCUGGAAUUCUUGAUUUCCUCAAGUUUGGCCGUGCCGUGGCUGAUGCCAAGAAGGACCCCAUCAAGCUCCUGAGGCUGCUUGAUGUGUUUGAUUCUCUCAGCAAGCUCAGAUUGGACUUCAACCGGUUGUUUGGUGGAAAGGCAUGCCUGGAGAUCCAAAGCAGGACCAGAGAGCUUGUGAAGAGGGUGGUGGAUGGCUCUGUUGAGAUUUUUGAGGAGUUGCUGGUGCAGGUGGAGCUGCAGCGCAAGAUGCCACCCCCAGCUGACGGCGGAGUGCCAGGCCUGGUUACCUUCGUCCCCAAGUACUGCAACCAGCUCCUUGGGGAGCAAUAUCGGCCUGUGCUCACACAAGUGCUCACCAUCCACCGCAGCUGGCGCAAGGAGGCGUUCAACGACAAGAUGCUCGUCGAUGCAGUGCACAACAUUGUUAAGGCCCUGGAGGCCAACUUCGACACAUGGGCAAAGGCGUAUGAGGAUAAGACACUGUCAUCUCUCUUCAUGAUGAACACACAUUCGCACUUCUUCAAGCACCUGAAGAGCACUAAGAUGGGGGAGAUCUUAGGCGAUGAGUGGCUCCGGGAGCAUGAGCAGUACAAGGACUACUACUCGGCAUUGUUUCUAAGGGAGAGCUGGGGAACGCUUGCGCCGCUGCUGAGCAGGGAGGGUCUGAUCUUGUUCUCCAAGGGUCAGGCUACAGCAAGGGACUUGGUGAAGCAGCGGCUCAAAUCGUUCAACGCCAGCUUCGAUGAGAUGUACCAGAAGCAGUCCGCGUGGAUCAUACCGGACAAGGAUCUGCAGCAGAGGGUGUGCCACCUUGUGGUGCAGGCUAUAGUGCCUGUUUACCGUAGCUUCAUGCAGAACUACGGGCCGCUUGUCGAGCAGGACAUCAGCGCGAGCAAGUACGUCAAGUACAGCGCUGAAGGCCUUGACAAGAUGCUUAGCACCCUCUUCAUGCCGAAGCUUAGGACUAGGAGGACUGCAAGCAUGCAGAUCAGAAACUCAAAUGGCAAGAUUGCCAGUGCAGUGACUGGGCUGCAGCGGAGUGCUUCAACAUUGCAAUAG